AAAAAGUAAAUGACAGUUCCUAAAUUACGACUAGACAAUACAUUAAUGAAACUAAAGGUGACUUCCGGUUUCAAAAUGCCGGCAAAAAAGUCAAAAAUUUCAAUUUUAUACUUUCAAGCAACUUCACAAGGGAUGUAAAUCCUUGAAAGAUGUGUUAUAGGUAUAAUCCAAUGUAAGUUAUGAUAAAACGUUAAAAAAAGUUCCUAAGUACGACAAAACAACACAUAAAUGAAGAAAAAUAGUGACUUCCGGUUCCAAAAUGGCGGC
Molecule: long non-coding RNA, 267 nt
Filed under: Mytilus galloprovincialis (Mediterranean mussel)
Lineage: Eukaryota; Metazoa; Mollusca; Bivalvia; Mytilida; Mytilidae
Source: RNAcentral